UAGGGAAUAUUGCACAAUGGGGGAAACCCUGAUGCAGCGACGCCGCGUGAGUGAUGAAGGCCUUCGGGUCGUAAAGCUCUGUUGUACGGGGCGAAAAGCGACGUGCUAAUACCACGGCGUUUUGACAGUACCGUAUAAGAAAGGACCGGCUAACUUCGUGCCAGCAGCCGCGGUAAGACGAGGGGUCCUAGCGUUGUUCGGAAUUACUGGGCGUAAAGCGUGUGUAGGUGGCUUUGAAAGUCAGGUGUGAAAUCCCAUGGCUCAACCAUGGAACUGCAUUUGAAACUGCAAAGCUUGAAUGUCAGAGAGGUGGGCAGAAUUCCUGGUGUAGUGGUGAAAUACGUAGAUAUCAGGAGGAACUCCGGUGGCGAAGGCGGCUCACUGGCUGAACAUUGACACUGAGACACGAAAGCGUGGGGAUCAAACAGG
Molecule: ribosomal RNA, 429 nt
Filed under: uncultured Bdellovibrio sp.
Lineage: Bacteria; Pseudomonadati; Bdellovibrionota; Bdellovibrionia; Bdellovibrionales; Pseudobdellovibrionaceae
Description: bacterial SSU rRNA
Rfam family: Bacterial small subunit ribosomal RNA
Source: RNAcentral